GAAUCCCGUCUUUGACAUGGACUGCCAGGGCUUUGUGAUGCGCUCUCAAAGAGUCGAGUUGUUUGGGAAUGCAGCUCAAAAUGGGUGGUAAAUUCCAUCUAAAGCUAAAUAUUGGGGAGAGACCGAUAGCGAACAAGUACCGUGAGGGAAAGAUGAAAAGAACUUUGGAAAGAGAGUUAAACAGUACGUGAAAUUGCUGAAAGGGAAACGCUUGAAGUCAGUCGCGUCGCUCAGGACUCAGCCUUGCUUUUGCUUGGUGUACUUCCUGUUCGAUGGGUCAGCAUCAAUUUUGGUCGGUGGAUAAAGGCUCAGAGAAUGUGGCAUCUUCGGGUGUGUUAUAGCUCUGGGUUGUAUACAUCGGCUGGGAUUGAGGAACUCAGCACGCCGCAAGGCCGGGUACUUGUACCACGUACGUGCUUAGGAUGCUGGCAUAAUGGCUUUAAUCGACCCGUCUUGAAACACGGACCAAGGAGUCUAACAUGCCUGCGAGUGUUCGGGUGGAAAACUCGUGCGCGCAAUGAAAGUGAAAGUUGGGACCUCUGUCGUGGAGGGCACCGACGCCCGGACCAGACCUUCUGUGACGGCUCUGCGGUAAAGCAUGUAUGUUAGGACCCGAAAGAUGGUGAACUAUGCCUGAAUAGGGUGAAGCCAGAGGAAACUCUGGUGGAGGCUCGUAGCGAUUCUGACGUGCAAAUCGAUCGUCAAAUUUGGGUAUAGGGGCGAAAGACUAAUCGAACCAUCUAGUAGCUGGUUCCUGCC
RNAcentral lists this ribosomal RNA (759 nucleotides) under uncultured Mycena. RNAcentral's name for it is "partial 28S ribosomal RNA". It matches the Rfam family "Eukaryotic large subunit ribosomal RNA", at positions 216 to 962 of the family's 3401-position model. The record is from RNAcentral. Lineage: Eukaryota; Fungi; Basidiomycota; Agaricomycetes; Agaricales; Tricholomataceae.